GUGAAUCAUCGAAUCUUUGAACGCACAUUGCGCCCGCCAGUAUUCUGGCGGGCAUGCCUGUUCGAGCGUCAUUUCAACCCUCAAGCCCCCGGGCUUGGUGUUGGGGAUCGGGAUCAGGGCCUACCCCUCCGGGGGCGGCCCCCCCGUCCCUCAAAUCCAUCGGCGGUCUCGCCGCGGUCCUCCUAUGCGUAGUAGCACACCUCGCACCGGAGCCGCAGCCUGGCUAGCCGCUAAACCCCCCAAACUUUAGAAGGUUGACCUCGAAUCAGGUAGGACUACCCGCUGAACUUAAGCAUAUCAAUAAGCGGAGGA
RNAcentral lists this unclassified non-coding RNA (312 nucleotides) under Thelonectria sp. RNAcentral describes it as "partial contains 5.8S ribosomal RNA, internal transcribed spacer 2, and large subunit ribosomal RNA". The stretch from base 1 to 71 matches the Rfam family "5.8S ribosomal RNA", at positions 84 to 154 of the family's 154-position model. Lineage: Eukaryota; Fungi; Ascomycota; Sordariomycetes; Hypocreales; Nectriaceae. The record is from RNAcentral.